RNAcentral lists this ribosomal RNA (1095 nucleotides) under Triticum aestivum (bread wheat). RNAcentral's name for it is "partial small subunit ribosomal RNA". Lineage: Eukaryota; Viridiplantae; Streptophyta; Magnoliopsida; Poales; Poaceae. The record is from RNAcentral.
CUUGCAUCCUCUAAAUGUAUUAGGAUGAUUGAUCCCUUUGGUAUGUUUCAUUGGGAAUGGAUCCCAUCUGUUGGGAAAUCGGGGGGUAUACUGAGUGGUGUGAGACAUGAUACUUUGGAUAUUAUUUCAUGCACUAAAGGCAAAUAUAUUUUGCAAAUGGUGGUGCAUGACAAAAAAAUUAAGAAGGACUGGGGCCUCCUGAUAGUUUAUGGAUCUGCACAUGAGGAAUUUAAAGAGGAAUUUUUGGUGGAACUUGCUGCAAUGUGCAACAACAUGGGUGUCCCUUACAUUGUGGGAGGGGACUUUAAUAUUCUGCGCAACUGCAAUGAAAAGAAUAAGAAGAUGAAUAGUAGCAGAUCUACUGAUCUUUUCAAUUCUAUCAUCAAUGCCCUGGCCCUUAGAGAAAUUUAUACUAAUGGGGGUAGAUAUACUUGGACCAAUAAUCAGGCACACCCAACUCUGGAGAAACUGGACCGGAUUUUGAUGUCUGAAGAAUGGGAAAAUCUCUUCCCUUUGGUUUCUGUUAGGAAAUUAGUUCGAGAACUCUCUGACCAUAACCCACUACUGCUUUCUAGUGGGGAGGAAAGUAGAGAAGCUCCUAAACCUCGUGAGUUUUGUUUUAAUCUUGUCUGGACAAAAGAUGAGAAGUUCUUACCCACGGUUAGUAGGAUUUGGGCUAGAAAGGUUCAAUCCUCUCACCCUAUUGAUAUCCUGAAUAUCAAGCUAAAAAGAUUCAAAACCUACUUCAAAGGUUGGGGAUCAGAUAAGUACGGCCACGACAAAAAAAGAAAAGAGGAGCUCCGAAUUGAGCUGGCCAUGCUAGAAGAGCUUGAAGAAAAUGGCCCCUUAUCCCCUGAGCUAUACAGCAUCAAGAUUGAUGUUAGUACUGAGCUUCAUGAUAUACUGGUGAAUGAGGAGAUAUAUUGGCUCCAACAGUCUCAUGAACGCUGGCUCUUGAAAGGUGAUCUGAACACGGACUAUUAUCAUAAGAUUGCAAAUGGUCGCAAGAGGAAAAACACAAUCCAUUCCCUUAAAGCUGGGGAUGUGGAGAUUGAGGGCACUGACAACCUGAUUGCCCAUGCCACAGAAUACUAG